Molecule: ribosomal RNA, 465 nt
Filed under: uncultured bacterium
Lineage: Bacteria
Description: bacterial SSU rRNA
Rfam family: Bacterial small subunit ribosomal RNA
Source: RNAcentral
UCCAGACUCCUACGGGAGGCAGCAGUGAGGAAUAUUGGUCAAUGGGCGAGAGCCUGAACCAGCCAAGUCGCGUGAGGGAGUACUGCCCUAUGGGUUGUAAACCUCUUUUGUCGGGGAGCAAAAGCCGGACGUGUCCGGCUGUGAGAGUACCCGAAGAAAAAGCAUCGGCUAACUCCGUGCCAGCAGCCGCGGUAAUACGGAGGAUGCGAGCGUUAUCCGGAUUUAUUGGGUUUAAAGGGUGCGCAGGCGGAUUUUUAAGUCAGCGGUCAAAUCGUGGGGCUCAACCCCAUCCAGCCGUUGAAACUGGCUGUCUUGAGAUGUCGAGAGGUAUGCGGAAUGCGCAGUGUAGCGGUGAAAUACUUAGAUAUUGCGCAGAACUCCGAUUGCGAAGGCAGCAUACCGGCGGCGAUCUGACGCUGAGGCACGAAAGCGUGGGUAUCGAACAGGAUUAGAUACCCUAGUAGG